AAUUUGUGAGUAGGUACAAAAGUGCAUUGUAACAUUGGAUUCACAUAUCAACGCGAAGCAGUAAUGGUUGCGGAAGCAGGAAUUGAAGGCGUUUUAGCGAAGCAGUGGAGCUGCUGGUUGACGUAUUGGAGAGACAAUCUUGGCAGGAUUAUCGUCAACGUGUAUCACAAAAAAGGAGUUACUUACGGAGAACCGCUGGCGGAAAGUUGAUCCAGGGACCGGCUGCACCUCUCCCAAAAUUCCAGGGUGAGCUCGCUUUCAUCCAAGCCUCGGGUGACGAGGAACUCAUGGAAACGGCGGGUACCCUCUCGAUUGUUGAGAACAUGAUGAAUAUCGUCCGUCCAUCGAUCGAGCUCCUCUUGCGGAAUGAAAUCUUCAUUCGGGCAGCAAGGCACGCAACUCAUUAUUCAAGGCCUCGAAAAUCUGAAUUCAUUGGAUCCACCGGUGUAACACUGUGAACAAAAUAAUAGAAACUGAAAAAUUUGUCCGCACAAAAAAAAAAAAAUGUUUAAAUUUCGAUUCUGAUACAUGAAAAGUUGAAAAACUGACCCUGUCAGACAUGCAAUGCAGAUAAAUUCUCACUUGAUUAACUUUUCUUCGUGGGUUGCGAGGAUGUGCAACAGUGGCGAGGCGCGAAUGAUCGAUUUUCGAUAUUUACCCAUUUGAAGCUAUAGUAAAAAAUCGAUUAUUUAGGUGUACGUUGCGACACCCUGUUUAUCGAUCCUUCUCCGUUGGUUUAAAUGGCAAAUCAAUCGAUUCUAUCGCAAAGCAUGCCGCGCCACUGAUGUGCAAUGAUUGCAUACUUGGAAUGAUAACAGUCCGGUGCAGCGAAAUGAUAAGGAAAUAAAAAAGGAUAGAGGAGGGCACUGAAUCAGGAGGUCAGUGCCUUUGAUUAUAUGACUAUCCGUGUUCAAUGGAGUGACUCAUCAAACUGUGUCUCACUCAAGGGGUCGUCCAUAAAUGAAUGUUCUUACAGUGUCAUUCGGAGUGUUUUAUGCCUCCUCUCUCGAAUACCUUUUAUAUGGAUCUUAAUUUUUUUUAUUUUCCUCAUCCCCCCCCCCCCAAAAAAAACCGUCUCGAUAACAUAUACCCCUCUCCAAAAUCUUGAGUGGAGAGAAGAAAAAAAAACAAUUAAGCAUCAUAAUUAUUUUAAUGAAGUCAGUGAAAGCGUUAUUUGGUGAAAAUUAUAAGAGAAAAUACAAACUCCUAUCUCAAUA
This is a non-coding RNA of Bemisia tabaci, 1217 nucleotides long. Lineage: Eukaryota; Metazoa; Arthropoda; Insecta; Hemiptera; Aleyrodidae. The record is from RefSeq and is a predicted model, not a curated record.